AGUGAACGCUGGCGGUAGGCCUAACACAUGCAAGUCGAACGGCAGCACAGUAAGAGCUUGCUCUUACGGGUGGCGAGUGGCGGACGGGUGAGGAAUACAUCGGAAUCUACUUUUUCGUGGGGGAUAACGUAGGGAAACUUACGCUAAUACCGCAUACGACCUACGGGUGAAAGCAGGGGAUCUUCGGACCUUGCGCGAUUGAAUGAGCCGAUGUCGGAUUAGCUAGUUGGCGGGGUAAAGGCCCACCAAGGCGACGAUCCGUAGCUGGUCUGAGAGGAUGAUCCGCCACACUGGAACCUGGAACAGGGCCCGAACUCUUAGGGAGGGAGCAGUGGGGAAUAUUGGAACAUUGGGGCAAGCCUGAACCCGGCCUAACGGGUGGGUGAAGGAGGGCUUUGGGUUGUUAAGGCCUUUUGUUGGGGAAGGAAAGCAGCAGGUUAAUACCCCGGUGUUCUGACGGUAACCAAAGAAUAAGCCACGGCUAACUUCGUGC
RNAcentral lists this ribosomal RNA (493 nucleotides) under uncultured bacterium. Its description in RNAcentral is "partial 16S ribosomal RNA". It matches the Rfam family "Bacterial small subunit ribosomal RNA", at positions 29 to 508 of the family's 1533-position model. The record is from RNAcentral.